Molecule: long non-coding RNA, 451 nt
Organism: Homo sapiens (human)
Lineage: Eukaryota; Metazoa; Chordata; Mammalia; Primates; Hominidae
Source: Ensembl
CCUGUCACAAAAAACCCACAUUCUUGUCAUAGAAGUGGCCAGCUGGGCCCGUGUCCCUGGAAGCCAAAGAUGAGGGCACGUAGCCCGAGGACUCGAGGAUGGCGGAGGAGGACCAGACCCCCAGGGCCGCCGAGCCCUUCCUCACUCCCAUGGAGCCCCCUGAGACUGGCAGACACGUGCCAAGCAGAGCUCGAGGGGCAUGGCCACCACCUAGGUUUGGGAGAGAGAAAAGGGGCCCAGAAUCUCCUUCUCCAAGAGGAAGCUGGAGCUCUUCCUUGCAGAGCCUGAGAAAAGGAAGAGGAAGAAGCAGUAGGUGGCCUAAUCCAAGAACCACCGCAAAGCUUUAUCCUUCUGAUACAAAAUGAAGUCUUACAAAGUUGAAAACUAAAGGCAGCCCCCAAAAAGGAAUUCACUCUUGAAUGCAGUGUUUCAAGAAUUCAAAGGCCAACAC